Molecule: ribosomal RNA, 474 nt
Filed under: uncultured bacterium
Lineage: Bacteria
Description: bacterial SSU rRNA
Rfam family: Bacterial small subunit ribosomal RNA
Source: RNAcentral
UGGGGAAUUUUUCGCAAUGGGGGAAACCCUGACGAAGCAACGCCGCGUGGAGGAUGAAGGCCUUCGGGUCGUAAACUCCUGUCGACCGGGACGAACGCUAUUGGGCCCAAUACGCCCGAUAGUCGACUGUACCGGUGGAGGAAGCCACGGCUAACUCUGUGCCAGCAGCCGCGGUAAUACAGAGGUGGCAAGCGUUGUUCGGAAUUACUGGGCGUAAAGAGCUCGUAGGCGGUUGCGUAAGUCGGAUGUGAAAACUCAGGGCUCAACCCUGAGACGCCAUCCGAUACUGCGCUGACUUGAAUCCAGUAGGGGAGUGUGGAAUUCCUGGUGUAGCGGUGAAAUGCGCAGAUAUCAGGAGGAACACCCAUGGCGAAGGCAGCACUCUGGGCUGGUAUUGACGCUGAGGAGCGAAAGCAUGGGUAGCGAACAGGAUUAGAUACCCAUGUAGUCCCUGAGCGGGCUGGCAAGGCGCAU